Pipra filicauda (Wire-tailed manakin) is the source of this 636-nucleotide long non-coding RNA. RefSeq lists it as uncharacterized. The transcript has 4 exons. NCBI's taxonomy places the organism in Eukaryota, Metazoa, Chordata, Aves, Passeriformes, Pipridae. The record is from RefSeq and is a predicted model, not a curated record.
GUGGAGGAGAGAGAAUGUGUGCAGCCUCAGAGGGCUGGAGCCACCUGCCAGUUAGGUGUGAUGGUCUUCAGCUGUCCUUGUACGGCACACGGUGAUGGCAGCAGCCUCCGACUGGGGUCGGAGCCAGUGGCCCGAGAACCUCUCAGCUCAGGGGAGGCGACCGAGUCAGGGAUCACAGGACCCUCUGAGCCAGCCGGGCGUCCUUCCUUGGCAUCGAAGAUGGAUUCACAUCCCCAGCUGUGGGAAAGAUAAGUGGAGGGCUCCCACCUGGAGAGGGGAUGGGAGCUGGGUCCAGUUUUAUGGUUAGGAGGGAGGGAUUGUCAAAUGAGCAGAGGGGAAAGGGUCUGCCCUAACAGGCCCUUGGCACACAUAGGAGGAGCAGUUUACUUUUCAUCAUGGAGUAGGAUGUGCAGGGCAGAGCAGUUCAGGUCUGUGUCGUGUCCUUUGUCCGGUCUGUGUUUCGUGUCUUACACUUCACAGUCAGGGUGUCUUUGCUUCCUGCCCUCCAAGGUCUUAUCUGAGAUGCCAAGGCAUCAUUCCUAGGGUCUUGAACCUCUGCACUGCCCAGCUCAGUGCCCAUACCAUCCGUUCUUUGGCUCACUAGCUUGGACGUGCAUCGGAAUCACAUCUGAGAAG